Brassica rapa (field mustard) is the source of this 3106-nucleotide long non-coding RNA. RefSeq lists it as uncharacterized. The record is from RefSeq and is a predicted model, not a curated record. Lineage: Eukaryota; Viridiplantae; Streptophyta; Magnoliopsida; Brassicales; Brassicaceae.
GGCUGACGAGGUGGCGGUUGAUUUGCACCACCGUUACUGUAACUUUUGCUCGUCUGAGGGUAGCCUGACAUAGCUGGAAAUGAAAAGGUAAGACUCUUUGCAAUAGAGAUGGAAGAAGAGAAUGAGUUGACCUUAAAGAUCUGUUUCUUUCAGUUUUUGAUAUACUUUUUUGUUUCUACAUAAAUCAGGAGAAAGAAGCCAAUAAAGAAGCUUUGAGGAAGUAUUUAGAGUUAGUGGAGUUCUUCACCAAAGGUAAUGUUUCUUUUUUUUUUAUAUUACACCAUCACUAAAACCUAUCGCAACAGUUUCUGUAUCAAAUAGUUUGAUCGGACAUAAUAAUUUGAUUUGUACUCCUUUGUAUGUUCUGGAACGCAAUGUGGGUUUCGAAUGUAGUUCUGAUUGCUUUGUAUGAGCAGAAUGACAAGCCUUCCUCUGCUUUAGAAUUCAUCCAGCAAAAGCUAGGAGGUCCUUCAGUUUCUGAUUACAAGAAGCUUCAAUCUGAGAAGUCUGACCUUCAAAUAAAGGACAAUGAAGUUUUUGCUAAACAUCAAGGAACCUUGAGAGAGGUAUCCCGUCCUAACUUGAAUAUAAAAGUUUAUCAGUAAACCAUAUAUAAUUGAUUAGCACAUGAUUACAUGCUUAUGUAGUUCCUUAUCCAUUCUUUUUAGUUGUCUUCAGAAUUUCUAUAUGAUUGGUUGGAAUGGUAAUGGAGUGUAUAGAGUACUAAAGAUAGACCAGCUUGAUGUGUCUGAGCUUAACCUCAGUGAGGAUUUCACUGCCUAUACCAAAAAAGAAUGCUACGAGCUGCUUAAACGGAUACACAAAGGAAACAAGGCCACAGGCGGCCUCGAAUUUGUCACUCUCUGUUAUGGCAUCAUUGGUUUGUGUUCUUUUGUUUCAAGUUAUGGUCGCUGAAACAUACAUUGUUUUACUUUUACAGCGUGUUCUCACAAUUUGUUUUUUUCUUCCCAUUUUUGUGGUCUCAGGAUUCAUUAAGUUUUAGGGACCAUACUACAUUCUGGUUAUCACUUAGAGAAGAGAGAUAGGCGAAAUUUGUGGUCACAUGGUGUAUGAAGUCUCCAAGAGUGAGAUCAUUUCUUUGCGAAAUUCUAGCAUGAUUUGCAGCAUUUCAAAUUCAAGAGACGAGAACAGGUGUUUUUAUAUAUCUUUUACUUUUUUUCCCUUUUUUUUUUGUCUGUCCCAAGCUUAUUGUCGAAGAAAGUUUCUGUUUUUCUUUUCAGUUCGGUGAAAAGUUAGUGAGUUACAUGUGUUCAUUUAUUAUACCCUUCCACCUUUUUAUGAACUCAAGUCAUUUAACCCUUGCGUUUCUUUAUCUGGUGUUGAUAAACAGGUACAAGAGGUUCCUGUGUAGCUCCUGUGUAUGGUGGACCUUACAAAAGACUUCUUUUUCAGCUAUUCUUUCAAUAUAAUGUGUAGUUUCCAGAAGAAUAUAUGUGUGUCAUGUGACCAUGAAAGUGGUGGUGCUCUCUAUAAGAAAAGAACAAAAUAAAUGACCACCGCUUUUAAAACAUUUAUGUUACCGCUUCCUACGUCAAUUAAAUAGGCACACACAAAUACUAUUUUUUCUUACGAAUAUUGAAUUCCUCAAAACAAUUUAUUAUUUAAACUUACUGUUGUUUUUUUAAAAAAAAAUGACCACCGCUUCCAACAUCUUCGCAUUAUAAAAUAAACAAAACUUAACUUACCCUUUCAGAAACUUUAAAACUCCAAAUUUUAAUUGAGCUGACUUAAACCUAAAUACUAAAAGCUCUAAAACAUAUAAUUUUCUAAAAAACUAAAGAUCGCUCAUCCUCACCCUAGCCCUAAUCACCGACUCCAUCUCAUCGUGAUUCUCUUCCUCUUCAUCUCAUCUUCAACUUAAAUAUUAUCAUUUUUGAAUGAAAACAUUAUUAUUAUUGAAAUAUUAAUUAUUUAUCCAAAACUCUAAUAAACAAAAUAUACAAGUUGUUAAUGCACUCUAUUGUUUGCAAAGAAGCUUUUCAUAUUAUUUCCCUUUUUUCAUUUAAUGCACAAAUACAAAUGUAGAUUUUCCUUUUAUCUAGAAGAUGUUUUUUAAUUUAACAUACAAAUUAUGAACCGUUUGACCAUGUUUAUCAUAAAUGUGGUUUUAUAUAUAUUUUUAGUUUUAAUAUAUUCUUCAUUAUUUACAUCUUAUUAGUUUUAAACGAUACAAAAAAACAUAUAUUAAUUGCAUAUUUUAAAACGAUUAAAGUCACAAUGACCAAUUAUUUUCCAGCACCACCAAAAACUCGAAAACCCCUAUACAACCGAAAUUUUAUUUCCAUAUAUUAUUAAAUUUUAUUUGUUUAUAAUAUGUUUUAAAAACAAACCAAAAAAAAAAUUGUGAUAAAGAAGGAAAGUUUUGAUAGAAUAACCAAAAUGUUUCAUUUAGUCGGUAAAAUGAUCUAUAUACCCUAGAUAUAUAAAAUUUAAUUAAAAAAUAUUAAAAAACAAUAAAAAAAAUUAAGUAAUAGUCUUAGAUUAUACGUUUUCAAAAUACAAUUUUUUAAAAUAAUUUUUUUAGUUGAUUUUUUAAUUGCAAUUUUUCUCUAUUUUUGUUUUCAAUUUAUCUUUUUGUAAUUCUAGCCGAAGUUCACAACAAGUGGAGCGACAACCUCGGAACGCAACCAAUUGUCGUUAGGAUCAUUAGGAUGUGGCCCAUCACAAAUCACACAAAUAAAAAUGCUUUCCUAGGAACAACUUUCAUUUAUAUUGACAUCUAGGUUUGUCUAAAAAAUACUUACUUUUAAUUAUUCCAACAACAUUUCAAAUAAUUGCUUUUAACCAUUCAACAGGAACAAAAAAAAUGGAAGGGCAGGUGCCUAUUUCUACGUCUGACACAGUGUAUCAACGGUUCGAAGAAGGAAAAAUUAAUCACAUUAGUAAUUUUAAUCUUCUUCCCAAUAACCGACGGUACAUGCUUACCGUUCAACCAUACAUAAUCAAUAUCAAUGAGACAACAAUUAUAACACUGAUUCAAGAAAACAUUCCACCGAUUCCUUCAUACAUUUUAUGGCCCCAACGCUAUCCCCAGUUGAUCAGCUUAGCAAGUGCAACCAACUUCCUCCCAAGUCAAAAAAAAAAA